RNAcentral lists this ribosomal RNA (507 nucleotides) under uncultured bacterium. Its description in RNAcentral is "partial 16S ribosomal RNA". It matches the Rfam family "Bacterial small subunit ribosomal RNA", at positions 29 to 523 of the family's 1533-position model. The record is from RNAcentral.
AGUGAACGCUGGCGGUAGGCCUAACACAUGCAAGUCGAACGGCAGCACAGGAGAGCUUGCUCUCUGGGUGGCGAGUGGCGGACGGGUGAGGAAUACAUCGGAAUCUACUUUUUCGUGGGGGAUAACGUAGGGAAACUUACGCUAAUACCGCAUACGACCUACGGGUGAAAGCAGGGGACCUUCGGGCCUUGCGCGAUUGAAUGAGCCGAUGUCGGAUUAGCUAGUUGGCGGGGUAAAGGCCCACCAAGGCGACGAUCCGUAGCUGGUCGUGAGAGGAUGAUCAGCCACACUGGAACUGAGACACGGUCCAGACUCCUACGGGAGGCAGCAGUGGGGAAUAUUGGACAAUGGGCGCAAGCCUGAUCCAGCCAUACCGCGUGGGUGAAGAAGGCCUUCGGGUUGUAAAGCCCUUUUGUUGGGAAAGAAAUCAAGCUGGCUAAUACCCGGUUGGGAUGACGGUACCCAAAGAAUAAGCACCGGCUAACUUCGUGCCAGCCGCCGCCGUAA